CAGUGAUUAUGAUUCUUCCAUCUUAGACAGCAGGAGUAGUAGAAAACAGGCUCAUGGAUUCCCAAGCUCCAGGACUCAGCAGGAUUCCAUGUUCCUGAGUUGGUGGAAAAACAGAAUGGUACUGUAUACCCAAUGGGAACAACAGAUUACCAGGCUCCCUGUGUCUGAAGAAUCAUCUUCUGCCUGAAAGUAUCUUCCCACCUCCUCAAUUUCUCCUCAGGUUCUUUCCUCCUGCUGGAAG
RNAcentral lists this long non-coding RNA (241 nucleotides) under Vulpes vulpes (red fox). RNAcentral describes it as "lncRNA (ENSVVUG00000015531.1)". Lineage: Eukaryota; Metazoa; Chordata; Mammalia; Carnivora; Canidae. The record is from RNAcentral.